GUUUGAACAAGCUCCAGGAGAUGGUGAAGGAUAAAGAAGCCAAGUGUGCUACAGUCCAUGAGGCUGGUGAUUCCACAGGACCCAUUGCUCUGCCCCCAGGAUGCUGCUGUCAACUCUCCUUGCACUGGAUCCACCUGCUCAUCUUCCAGGUCUUUGCUCAUGUUCUUCCCUUUACCUGGUAGCCUGUCAUUUUUACCACAGAGCAACUGCCUCUCCUCAACUUUGGAGACUCAGUUUGUUUUGUCACCUCUGGAUUUCUUGUCAACAGUUGAUCCCAGGCAAGUUCCAAAUAGUCACAUUGUCUUUAUUGCAAUGGCUUCUGUGUAACUCCUAUCAGCCCUCUAUACUUUGGUAUCUGAUCUCUACCUGCAUCCUUCUACCAUGAAGACUCACCAGCUCUGAAGCAAUUUGGCUACUCUGGAUCACGUUCCUUCCCUGAGCUUGUGUUUACUGAGCAGUAACUCUGUGCCAGACACAGAUUGAAGGCACUAAAUUAGGAGGCGGCUCUAGAUGCUUGUCUGCUUGGAGCCUGCAGGCUAGUGAAAUAGACUGAGAGAUCAAGGGGGCAUAAGAGGAGGGCGUCAUGAAAGUGUGAUGGACAGAGGACAAAGCCUAUGGGGAAGCUUUGGGGAAGGGGGCCUAACUCAGAUCUGGAUGUUAAGAAAGUCUUCCUGCA
Long non-coding RNA from Cervus elaphus (red deer), 676 nucleotides. RefSeq lists it as uncharacterized. The transcript is spliced from 2 exons. NCBI's taxonomy places the organism in Eukaryota, Metazoa, Chordata, Mammalia, Artiodactyla, Cervidae. The record is from RefSeq and is a predicted model, not a curated record.